GAUGAACGCUGGCGGUAUGCUUAACACAUGCAAGUCGAACGGACUCUUCGGAGUUAGUGGCGGACGGGUGAGUAACGCGUGAGAAUCUGGCUUUGGGUUCGGGACAACCACUGGAAACGGUGGCUAAUACCGGAUGUGCCGAGAGGUUAAAGAGAAAUUGCCUGAAGAUGAUCUCGCGUCUGAUUAGCUAGUUGGUGAGGUAAAGGCUCACCAAGGCAGCGAUCAGUAGCUGGUCUGAGAGGAUGACCAGCCACACUGGGACUGAGACACGGCCCAGCCGCCUACGGGAGGAAGCAGUGGGGAAUUUUCCGCAAUGGGCGAAAGCCUGACGGAGCAAUACCGCGUGAGGGAAGAAGGCUCUUGGGUUGUAAACCUCUUUUCUUAGGGAAGAACAAAAUGACGGUACCUAAGGAAUCAGCAUCGGCUAACUCCGUG
Molecule: ribosomal RNA, 435 nt
Filed under: uncultured bacterium
Lineage: Bacteria
Description: partial 16S ribosomal RNA
Rfam family: Bacterial small subunit ribosomal RNA
Source: RNAcentral